Molecule: ribosomal RNA, 271 nt
Filed under: uncultured bacterium
Lineage: Bacteria
Description: partial 16S ribosomal RNA
Rfam family: Bacterial small subunit ribosomal RNA
Source: RNAcentral
UACGAAGGGAGCUAGCGUUGUUCGGAAUCACUGGGCGUAAAGCGCACGUAGGCGGAUGUGCCAGUCAGGGGUGAAAUCCCGGAGCUCAACUUCGGAACUGCCCUUGAUACAGCACGUCUUGAGUCCGAGAGAGGUGAGUGGAAUUCCUAGUGUAGAGGUGAAAUUCGUAGAUAUUAGGAAGAACACCGGUGGCGAAGGCGGCUCACUGGCUCGGUACUGACGCUGAGGUGCGAAAGCGUGGGGAGCAAACAGGAUUAGAAACCCUGGUAGU